This 507-nucleotide ribosomal RNA is filed under the name Fusarium oxysporum. RNAcentral's name for it is "SSU rRNA". It matches the Rfam family "Eukaryotic small subunit ribosomal RNA", at positions 569 to 1078 of the family's 1831-position model. The record is from RNAcentral. Lineage: Eukaryota; Fungi; Ascomycota; Sordariomycetes; Hypocreales; Nectriaceae.
AGCAGCCGCGGUAAUUCCAGCUCCAAUAGCGUAUAUUAAAGUUGUUGUGGUUAAAAAGCUCGUAGUUGAACCUUGGGCCUGGCUGGCCGGUCCGCCUCACCGCGUGCACUGGUCCGGCCGGGCCUUUCCCUCUGUGGAACCCCAUGCCCUUCACUGGGUGUGGCGGGGAAACAGGACUUUUACUGUGAAAAAAUUAGAGUGCUCCAGGCAGGCCUAUGCUCGAAUACAUUAGCAUGGAAUAAUAGAAUAGGACGUGUGGUUCUAUUUUGUUGGUUUCUAGGACCGCCGUAAUGAUUAAUAGGGACAGUCGGGGGCAUCAGUAUUCAAUUGUCAGAGGUGAAAUUCUUGGAUUUAUUGAAGACUAACUUCUGCGAAAGCAUUUGCCAAGGAUGUUUUCAUUAAUCAAGAACGAAAGUUAGGGGAUCGAAGACGAUCAGAUACCGUCGUAGUCUUAACCAUAAACUAUGCCGACUAGGGAUCGGAUGAUGUUAAUUUUUUAAUGACUCA